RNA transcript from Hipposideros armiger (great roundleaf bat), 488 nucleotides. It is a transcript of the gene named 60S ribosomal protein L10a pseudogene, with no coding region annotated. The record is from RefSeq and is a predicted model, not a curated record. The transcript is spliced from 2 exons. NCBI's taxonomy places the organism in Eukaryota, Metazoa, Chordata, Mammalia, Chiroptera, Hipposideridae.
AUGAAGUUUGACAUCGCUAGUUACGUGUUACUAACACAUAUCAACAUCAUGUACCCUGACACGAUGCUCGAUGACGAAUUGGUGGACAAGAAUAAGAAACUGGUCAAAAAGCUGGCCAAGAAGUAUGAUGCCUUUUUGGCUUCAGAGUCUCUGAUCAAGCAGAUUCCACGAAUCCUGGGCCCAGGCCUGAAUAAAGCUGGCAAGUUCCCUUCCUUGCUGACCCACAAUGAGAAUAUGGUGGCCAAAGUCGAUGAAGUGAAAUCCACCGUCAAGUUCCAGAUGAAGAAGGUGCUUUGUCUGGCAGUGGCAGUCGGCCACGUGAAAAUGACAGAUGAUGAGCUUGUGUACAACAUCCACUUAGCUGUCAAUUUCCUGGUGUCAUUGCUCAAAAAGAACUGGCAGAAUGUCCGAGCUUUAUAUAUCAAGAGCACCAUGGGAAAGCCCCAGUGCCUGUACUAAGGCAGAGCUUAAUAAACCGUAGUGCUACA